This is a regulatory RNA element of Gloeocapsa sp. PCC 7428, 172 nucleotides long. It matches the Rfam family "Ribosomal protein L10 leader". Rfam says of the family: This family is a putative r-protein leader autoregulatory structure found in B. subtilis and other low-GC Gram-positive bacteria. It is located in the 5' untranslated regions of mRNAs encoding ribosomal proteins L10 and L12 (rplJ-rplL). A Rho-independent transcription terminator structure that is probably involved in regulation is included at the 3' end. The record is from Rfam. Lineage: Bacteria; Bacillati; Cyanobacteriota; Cyanophyceae; Chroococcidiopsidales; Chroococcidiopsidaceae.
CAAAUUAAAUAGACAAAGCCAGAGACAGCAGGAGCUUUCAAAGCUUAAUACCCUGCCGAGGUUUGUAACUCAAUUGCUCGAAUGUCACUCGUGUGAACGACAAAGUGGCAUGGCAGCAGAGGUAUAACCUGCUGAACCCUGGCUGAUAAAGCUGGGGUUUUUGCUUUGAGUA